Molecule: ribosomal RNA, 253 nt
Filed under: uncultured bacterium
Lineage: Bacteria
Description: partial 16S ribosomal RNA
Rfam family: Bacterial small subunit ribosomal RNA
Source: RNAcentral
UACGUAGGUGGCAAGCGUUGUCCGGAAUCAUUGGGCGUAAAGCGCGUGUAGGCGGCCCGGUAAGUCCGCUGUGAAAGUCCAGGGCUCAACCCUGGAAUGCCGGUGGAUACUGUCGGGCUCGAGUCCGGAAGAGGCGAGUGGAAUUCCUGGUGUAGCGGUGAAAUGCGCAGAUAUCAGGAGGAACACCAAUGGCGAAGGCAGCUCGCUGGGACGGUACUGACGCUGAGACGCGAAAGCGUGGGGAGCAAACAGG